GUAGAGGUGAAAUUCGUAGAUAUCGGCAAGAACAUCAGUGGCGAAGGCGACGACCUGGUCCGAUACUGACGCUCAGACUCGAAAGCGUGGGGAGCAAAACAGGAUUAGAUACCCUGGUAGUCCACGCUGUAAACGAUGCUCACUGGAUAAUGUGCUACUUUCGUGGUGCAUUGUCGAAGCUAACGCGUUAAGUGAGCCGCCUGGGGAGUACGGUCGCAAGAUUAAAACUCAAAGGAAUUGACGGGGGGCCCGCACAAGCAGUGGAGUAUGUGGUUUAAUUCGAAGCAACGCGAAGAACCUUACCUGGGUUUGAAAUCCCAUGAACCUGGCUGAAAGGCUGGGGUGCCCUUCGGGGGAGCGAUGGAGACAGGUGCUGCAUGGCUGUCGUCAGCUCGUGUCGUGAGAUGUUCGGUUAAGUCCGGC
This 423-nucleotide ribosomal RNA is filed under the name uncultured bacterium. RNAcentral's name for it is "bacterial SSU rRNA". It matches the Rfam family "Bacterial small subunit ribosomal RNA", at positions 675 to 1090 of the family's 1533-position model. The record is from RNAcentral.